GCGCCCGUAGCUCAACUGGAUAGAGCACCAGUCUUCGGAACUGGGGGUUGGAGGUUCGAUCCCUUCCGGGCGCG
RNAcentral lists this transfer RNA (74 nucleotides) under bacterium. Its description in RNAcentral is "tRNA-Arg". It matches the Rfam family "tRNA". Rfam says of the family: Transfer RNA (tRNA) molecules are approximately 80 nucleotides in length. Their secondary structure includes four short double-helical elements and three loops (D, anti-codon, and T loops). Further hydrogen bonds mediate the characteristic L-shaped molecular structure. tRNAs have two regions of fundamental functional importance: the anti-codon, which is responsible for specific mRNA codon recognition, and the 3' end, to which the tRNAs corresponding amino acid is attached (by aminoacyl-tRNA synthetases). tRNAs cope with the degeneracy of the genetic code in two manners: having more than one tRNA (with a specific anti-codon) for a particular amino acid; and 'wobble' base-pairing, i.e. permitting non-standard base-pairing at the 3rd anti-codon position. The record is from RNAcentral.